UACGGAGGGGGCUAGCGUUGUUCGGAAUUACUGGCGUAAAGCGGACGUAGGCGGCUUUGUAAGUUAGAGGUGAAAGCCCGGGGCUCAACUCCGGAAUUGCCUUUAAGACUGCAUCGCUAGAAUUGUGGAGAGGUAAGUGGAAUUCCGAGUGUAGAGGUGAAAUUCGUAGAUAUUCGGAAGAACACCAGUGGCGAAGGCGACUUACUGGACACAUAUUGACGCUGAGGUGCGAAAGCGUGGGGAGCAAACAGG
RNAcentral lists this ribosomal RNA (252 nucleotides) under uncultured bacterium. Its description in RNAcentral is "partial 16S ribosomal RNA". It matches the Rfam family "Bacterial small subunit ribosomal RNA", at positions 524 to 776 of the family's 1533-position model. The record is from RNAcentral.